This is a non-coding RNA of Pelobates cultripes (western spadefoot toad), 617 nucleotides long. The record is from the annotation of a GenBank genome assembly. Lineage: Eukaryota; Metazoa; Chordata; Amphibia; Anura; Pelobatidae.
AUCUGCUUAAACCUGUGAAGUUGUGAACGACUCUUGCCAGAGAUCACUGUUUAUCCAGGCAACGUAUGGUAUGUGCUGGUACAUAUGACGGCACAAGACAGUACUUGGUAGCAUGUAUUAUUAUUAUUGACAUUUAUAUAGCGCCAACAGAUUCCGUAGCGCUUUACAAUAUACAUAGAUAAGGGAAAUAUUAGAUCUUCGCACUAACCUCUCACCCGGGCGUAGCAGCAGCUGCACUGAGACAGGACCUUACGGAAGAGGUUUUGGCAAGCACAGCCGUGGCGUGGGUUGCCCCCUCUCAUUGCUCCCCAGGCAUGGCGACGCCGAGCCCGGUCCAAAGCAUGCCAGUGAUGAGGCACCCCAGCUCUGCCUUCCAGACAGAAGUAAACCCACCAAAAAACCAACGGGUAUGGAAGGAUUAAAAAAAAAGAUAAAUAUGCCUGAGAGUAGCAGUGAGCGGAUAUACAGUACAGCGUAGUCUCAGAUGUGCGGAGACUGGAGGAUGAGUGAAAGAGGCCAGCUGCUGCCCUCAAGCUGGCUGAGCAAGGCUGGAUGGAAGCUGUGUUCUAAAGUGGCAGCUUCACCGAGCUGUUCUGCUGCUUAGAGCUGCUUUAAAG